GCUGGGCAUGGUGGCGGGUGCCUGUAAUCCCAGCUACUUGGGAGGCUGAGACAGGAGAAUCGCUCGAACCCGGGAGGCGGAGGUUGCAGUGAGCCAAGAUUGUACCACUGCACUCCAGCCUGGGUGAUAGAGUGAGACUCUGCCUCAA
RNAcentral lists this non-coding RNA (148 nucleotides) under Nomascus leucogenys (northern white-cheeked gibbon). The record is from Rfam by way of RNAcentral. Lineage: Eukaryota; Metazoa; Chordata; Mammalia; Primates; Hylobatidae.